AAGUCGGUGGAGCAUGUGGUUUAAUUCGAAGCGAACGCGAAGAACCUUACCAGGUCUUGACAUCCCUAGACAACCCAAGAGAUUGGGCGUUCCCCGUUCGGGGGACAGGGUGACAGGUGGUGCAUGGUUGUCGUCAGCUCGUGUCGUGAGAUGUUGGGUUAAGUCCCGCAACGAGCGCAACCCUCGCCUCUAGUUGCCAGCAUUCGGUUGGGCACUCUAGAGGGACUGCCGGCGACAAGUCGGAGGAAGGUGGGGAUGACGUCAAGUCAUCAUUGCCCCUUAUGUCUUGGGCUGCACACGUGCUACAAUGGCCGGUACAAUGGGCUGCGAUGGGGUGACCCGGAGCGAAUCCCACAAAACCGGCCCCAGUUCGGAUCGAAGGCUGCAACUCGCCUUCGUGAAGUCGGAGUUGCUAGUAAUCGCGGAUCAGCAUGCCGCGGUGAAUACGUUCCCGGGCCUU
This 460-nucleotide ribosomal RNA is filed under the name uncultured Geobacillus sp. Its description in RNAcentral is "bacterial SSU rRNA". It matches the Rfam family "Bacterial small subunit ribosomal RNA", at positions 927 to 1382 of the family's 1533-position model. Lineage: Bacteria; Bacillati; Bacillota; Bacilli; Caryophanales; Anoxybacillaceae. The record is from RNAcentral.